Molecule: ribosomal RNA, 463 nt
Filed under: uncultured bacterium
Lineage: Bacteria
Description: SSU rRNA
Rfam family: Bacterial small subunit ribosomal RNA
Source: RNAcentral
AGGAUUAACGCUGGCGGCGUGCCUGACACAUGCAAGUCGAACGAGGCCGCAAGGCCGAGUGGCGGACGGGUGAGUAACACGUGACCAACCAACCUCGAAGUUGGGAAUAGCUCUGCGAAAGUAGGGGUAAUACCGAAUGUGGCCCAGGGCGGGCAUCCGCCUUGGUCUAAAGAUUCAUCGCUUCGAGACGGGGUCGCGGCCUAUUAGCUUGUUGGUGAGGUAACGGCUCACCAAGGCGAUGAUGGGUAGCUGGUCUGAGAGGACGACCAGCCACACUGGGACUGAGACACGGCCCAGACUCCUACGGGAGGCAGCAGUGAGGAAUCUUCCGCAAUGGGCGAAAGCCUGACGGAGCAACGCCGCGUGUGGGAUGAAGGCUCUAGGGUUGUAAACCACUGUCGGAGGGACGAUCGUGACGGUACCCUCCAAGAAAGCCCCGGCUAACCUACGCGCCAGCAGCCGC